AGUGAACGCUGGCGGUAGGCCUAACACAUGCAAGUCGAACGGCAGCACAGUAAGAGCUUGCUCUUACGGGUGGCGAGUGGCGGACGGGUGAGGAAUACAUCGGAAUCUACUUUUUCUUGGGGGAUAACGUAGGGAAACUUACGCUAAUACCGCAUACGACCUACGGGUGAAAGCAGGGGAUCUUCGGACCUUGCGCGAUUGAAUGAGCCGAUGUCGGAUUAGCUGGUUGGCGGGGUAAAGGCCCACCAAGGCGACGAUCCGUAGCUGGUCUGAGAGGAUGAUCAGCCACACUGGAACUGAGACACGGUCCAGACUCCUACGGGAGGCAGCAGUGGGGAAUAUUGGACAAUGGGCGCAAGCCUGAUCCAGCCAUACCGCGUGGGUGAAGAAGGCCUUCGGGUUGUAAAGCCCUUUUGUUGGGAAAGAAAAGCAGCAGGUUAAUACCCCGCUGUUCUGACGGUACCCAAAGAAUAAGCACCGGCUAACUUCGUG
RNAcentral lists this ribosomal RNA (492 nucleotides) under uncultured bacterium. RNAcentral's name for it is "partial 16S ribosomal RNA". It matches the Rfam family "Bacterial small subunit ribosomal RNA", at positions 29 to 507 of the family's 1533-position model. The record is from RNAcentral.